GAAACUGGAAUUUUCUAUGGUACUAUGUGGUGUCACGGACUCAGUCAAAGGCAGGUGGAAUUUAUCAAAGUAUAAUAGAUCAAUUUUCUACAAGUACCUCAUAAAAACAUUUCCCCAAGUAAGAUGGAGGAUAGUGACUUUUUGGAGAAACAGAAUGGCUUGAUAGAUGUCCACCUAGAGAACUACUGCUUCCAAAAUGAAAUGAUACGGCUGUAUGGGAAGCUAAUAACCAAAAGAUCAUGUGAACGUUUCAUCUACAACAUGAGAUGGGGCUAGAUGGGAGUAAGAUUGUCAGGGGCUAACUCUCCACGUUCUAGGAACUCAUCACUGUCUUGUUUCUACCACUGUGAUCCCAAGGUUUCUUGCAUCUGAAUAAAAUUGGGUCAAGUUCAGCUCAUCUGGAUUAUAUGCCAAGAAAAGGUUGGCCAUCAUGGAAUACAGGAGCUUCGGGUGACUUUUUGCAUUUUUAUGGCCACUAUUUGCAUUUCUUUUCCCCUGACAAACCCAUUGGUCAGAAUUGAGAAAACUAUCCUUGACGAACUGCUUUUUUAAAAGGAUGCAUUGCCCUUAAUCUAGCAGCUAAGCAGGGGUUUUGAAUAGGUGAAUCAGAUUCGGAGAGAAGACAAUUACAUUUCUGGAAUGAUACACACCCUCAAAGUAUUAUAGCAUUGGAUGUCUGCUGCCCAUUAAAUUUCCCCAGCCAAUGCUAAUUGCCACAAA
Molecule: long non-coding RNA, 720 nt
Filed under: Homo sapiens (human)
Lineage: Eukaryota; Metazoa; Chordata; Mammalia; Primates; Hominidae
Description: HSALNT0070134
Source: RNAcentral